GGAAGUUUCAAAACGUCUUUUCUCCACGGGACCUAUUUGGAGCAUAUACCAUGCACACAAUGCAAGUACAUGAUCAAGUAUGGUGAGGGCUUAUGAGAUUCGCUUUUAGAACAGAAAGAAGGGUCAAUUUCCCUUGCUGUAAAUGAUCUCUAAUCAGAGCUUACAGCAAGGUAGAUGAAAGCCAAAGGGUGCUCUAGUGGUGGCAUGUAGAAAAAAAUAUGGUUCAAAAGGGCAUAAUGCAAGUAUUCAAUUUAAUAUGGUAAAGGCUUGUAAAACUGAACCAUAGAUCAUGAUAGGGUCACUUUACCUCGCUGUAAUUGAGGCUAUAUGUGAUUUACAGCAAGUUUGAUGAAGGUUGAAGCUCCAUCAAUGGUGGUGUGGAGCUUUGAGAUGCUAUGGACCAUGUGAGUUGUAUUGGAGAGCGGAAUAAGGUUAUGUGAUCUUCUCUCUCACGGACCUAUGGACAAUGGAGAAUCGCUCACUCACUCUCUCUAGGCUUAGGUGUGCCAGUCUUUGGACUCACACUCUCUCUAAGCAACAUAGCAUCACAUUGGUUGGAAUGUACAAAUGGGUGAGGACCCCUAUUUACAGGCUCGAGAGGAGAGUGCAUAGGAUAUUCCUGGGAAAAGCACUGAAAACCCUUGGUCAUUGAGAUCUAUGGGGUAUAAGAGAAGCUUUGAUCUAAGCCAUCCAUUCCUUUGCCAAUUAUCACAGAUCAAGCGCAUGAAUUUAAACACCAUUAUACCCUUGGCCAAAUUCAAACUCAAUUUUCCCUCCAAUUUGAAUUCAAAUUUCCCAUCCAAUUUGAAUUCAAAUUUCCCAUCAAUGUUUCAUUUCAAGACCACGUCCAUUUAACCAAAAUUCGAGUUCUUCAAAAUGAAAAGGUUGCCCAUGUUAAUUUGAGUUAAAUUAGGAGAGAGAGUGACACUGUUAGAGGCAUGUCCCUUAGAUCAAUAAUUUCUCUCUCCUUUCACAUGAAGUAAGAGAUUGCAGAAAUUCUGUCUUUUAAGUAAACUAACUUGCACAUGGGGUGGUGAAUGAGAAUGUGAUAGUGUCCAUCCAAAUGGUACUUCAAUUUAAAAUUGACUCUACAGGUUUCAAACCAAAUGUCAAACCUUGUGCCCUUUCCAGAUGUUUUGCACACAUUACAUAUAAU
Molecule: long non-coding RNA, 1156 nt
Filed under: Amborella trichopoda
Lineage: Eukaryota; Viridiplantae; Streptophyta; Magnoliopsida; Amborellales; Amborellaceae
Description: long non-coding RNA (ATRI_LNC003344)
Source: RNAcentral